CGUUACGGAGGUCCCCAUCCGCCAGCGAGUGUCGCCCGCGGAUGCGGCUUUG
This 52-nucleotide small RNA is filed under the name Aureimonas sp. Leaf460. Its description in RNAcentral is "ffh sRNA". It matches the Rfam family "ffh sRNA". Lineage: Bacteria; Pseudomonadati; Pseudomonadota; Alphaproteobacteria; Hyphomicrobiales; Aurantimonadaceae. The record is from Rfam by way of RNAcentral.